CCUACGGGGGGCAGCAGUGGGGAAUAUUGGGCAAUGGGCGAGAGCCUGAACCAGCCAAGUCGCGUGAGGGAGUACUGUCCUAUGGGUUGUAAACCUCUUUUGUCGGGGAGCAAAAGCCGGACGUGUCCGGCUGUGAGAGUACCCGAAGAAAAAGCAUCGGCUAACUCCGUGCCAGCAGCCGCGGUAAUACGGAGGAUGCGAGCGUUAUUCGGAUUUAUUGGGGUUAAAGGGUGCGGAGGCGGAUUUUUAAGUCAGCGGUCAAAUCGUGGGGCUCAACCCCAUCCAGCCGUUGAAACUGGGGAUCUAGAGUGUGCGAGAGGUAUGCGGAAUGCGUGGUGUAGCGGUGAAAUGCAUAGAUAUCACGCAGAACCCCGAUUGCGAAGGCAGCAUACCGGUGCACAACUGACGCUCAGGCACGAAAGCGUGGGUAUCGAACAGGAUUAGAUACCCGAGUAGUC
RNAcentral lists this ribosomal RNA (458 nucleotides) under uncultured bacterium. RNAcentral describes it as "partial 16S ribosomal RNA". It matches the Rfam family "Bacterial small subunit ribosomal RNA", at positions 338 to 795 of the family's 1533-position model. The record is from RNAcentral.